RNAcentral lists this transfer RNA (78 nucleotides) under Candidatus Nealsonbacteria bacterium RIFOXYB1_FULL_40_15. RNAcentral's name for it is "tRNA-Asp". It matches the Rfam family "tRNA". Rfam says of the family: Transfer RNA (tRNA) molecules are approximately 80 nucleotides in length. Their secondary structure includes four short double-helical elements and three loops (D, anti-codon, and T loops). The record is from RNAcentral. Lineage: Bacteria; Candidatus Nealsoniibacteriota. RNAcentral also lists the same sequence under 2 other names.
GGGCCCGUGGACAAGCCUGGAGUUGUCGUCUCCCUGUCACGGAGAAGAUCGUGGGUUCAAAUCCCAUCGGGCCCGCCA